AUGCCCCGCAUGGCUCACUCCCCGCUGUUGCCGGCACUAGUGCUGGCGAUCACCUCCGCGCUGGUUCCGUUCACAGUCGCUGACCCGCAGGCUAUGCUGCUCAGCCAAGGGUGCAGCCUGUACAACGUCACGUCCACGGCCGCCUUCCUCUCCGCCCUUAACUCCACCUUUGCCGAACUCCGCGCUAACCUCUCCGCCGGCGGCGGCUUCGCCACCGUGUUUCAGCCGCGCACCGUCGCGCCGACGUACGCGUUGGCGCAGUGCCGCCCAUACGUCACCGGGAGAGACUGCGUCGCAUGCUUCGACGCCGCUGCGUCGCACGUCCACCCUGCCUGCGGCGCUGCCAGCGGCGGGCGCGCCAUCCUCGACGGCUGCAUCGUACGGUACGAGAGCUUGCCUUUCUUCAACGAAUCCACGGGCCCUGGCAACAAGCAGAUCUGCAACGGCUCCACCAUGGCCGGCGGCGCUGUGCAGGCGCUGGUCAGCGACCUCGCGAUCGCAGUGCCUCGCUUCCCGCGGCUCGUUGCGAUGGCCGCGGGCGCCGGCGUGUACGCCAUGGCGCAGUGUGUGGAGACGGUCGGGGCGGGCGGCUGCGCGCAGUGCCUGGAGGUAGCUUCGAGCAACAUUGACCUGUGCCCGCCCAAUUCUGACGGCCGCGCAGUGGACGUGGGGUGUUACAUGAGAUACUCUGAUAAGCCGUUCUUCCCAGCUAACGAGACCGCAGACCUCGCGCCCUACUUGCGCUCUGGUGAUAUACUUGGAGCAACGGAACUGCAAGGUCCAACAAAUUUUUACUAUCGCGAUCUUAAGGCUGCAACCAAUAAUUUCAGUGAGAAAAAUAAAAUUGGAGAAGGAGGUUUUGGAGAUGUCUUUAAGGGUUUGUUGAAAAAUGGGAAAAUUGUUGCAGUAAAAAGGUUGUCAGUAAUGCAAACUAGCAGGGCCAAAGAAGAUUUUGAAAGUGAGGUGAAGCUGAUUAGCAAUGUUCAACAUCGAAAUCUUGUCCGGCUUCUUGGUUGUUCUCGCAAGGGUUCCGAAUGCAUCCUUGUCUAUGAAUAUAUGGCCAAUAGUAGUCUUGACAAGUUACUAUUCAGUGAGAGACGUGGAAUACUUAACUGGAAGCAGCGAUUUAACAUCAUGGUUGGCAUGGCCCGUGGCCUUGCAUAUCUUCAUCAAGAGUUCCAUGUGUGUAUCAUACACCGUGACAUAAAAUCUAGCAAUGUUCUUCUUGAUAUGACUUCCAGCCUAAGAUUGCUGAUUUUGGUUUGGCAAGGCUCCUACCUGAUGAUCAUAGUCAUGUCAGCACUAGAUUUGCAGGCACAUUGGGGUACACUGCUCCCGAGUAUGCAAUCCAAGGCCAGCUAA
Molecule: ribosomal RNA, 1362 nt
Filed under: Triticum aestivum (bread wheat)
Lineage: Eukaryota; Viridiplantae; Streptophyta; Magnoliopsida; Poales; Poaceae
Description: partial small subunit ribosomal RNA
Source: RNAcentral